GCAGAGUACAUGGGGUCAUGACUCAGGAAAAAGGACAAAAUCACCAACAUCUUCAAUGGGAGAAAAUCCUUUAUCGGCUGAUUCAUUUCCAUGUUUUGUUUCUGCAGGAGACGGGAUAUCCUAUUCAAGAAGCUUUAGAGUGGGCUCACACAGAAAAGAAUUUUCUCUUCCACUCCUCCUUCUCUUCGUCUCCCUUCCUUUCCAACGUAUAGAGAGGAUUUCAGAAUCUCAACAGAAAUGUCAGCAGCAUCAGCAACAGAGUAAAGGUGCUUGAUAGCAAGACAGCAAAAGAAAUCGUGGAUGUCGGUUCAGCACCGUGAUGCUCGUACCGUCCACUGGAGCAGUUUGAAGAAAGACUUUCAUUAACAUACUUACACAGCAGUUGGCAUGCUUCCGGUGGCACAAUCAGGAUUCAAGGCAGAGCGCUUAAUGCCAAAGGGUAUUUCAUUGACACUCUCAGCACCAGAAUCUUCAAGGACUUCACCCCAGGCACAACGAUACUGAAGCAAAUGAACGUUUAGAGUGUUCUGAUAAAGAACGAUGGGUUUUUGUUGUUGUUGUUGUUUUGUUUUGUGUUUUUGUUUUGUUUUGUUUUUCCUUUUAAAUUAAACUCUCCAACUCAACUGCCUUUCUUCAGUAAC
This 641-nucleotide long non-coding RNA is filed under the name Mus musculus (house mouse). RNAcentral describes it as "predicted gene 29328". The record is from RNAcentral. Lineage: Eukaryota; Metazoa; Chordata; Mammalia; Rodentia; Muridae.